Molecule: ribosomal RNA, 634 nt
Filed under: uncultured bacterium
Lineage: Bacteria
Description: bacterial SSU rRNA
Rfam family: Bacterial small subunit ribosomal RNA (bases 1-544)
Source: RNAcentral
CCUACGGGAGGCAGCAGUGGGGAAUUUUGGACAAUGGGCGCAAGCCUGAUCCAGCCAUGCCGCGUGCGGGAAGAAGGCCUUCGGGUUGUAAACCGCUUUUGUCAGGGAAGAAACGGUCUGGGUUAAUACCCUGGGCUAAUGACGGUACCUGAAGAAUAAGCACCGGCUAACUACGUGCCAGCAGCCGCGGUAAUACGUAGGGUGCAAGCGUUAAUCGGAAUUACUGGGCGUAAAGCGUGCGCAGGCGGUCCUAUAAGACAGAUGUGAAAUCCCCGGGCUCAACCUGGGAACUGCAUUUGUGACUGUAGGGCUUGAGUACGGUAGAGGGGGAUGGAAUUCCGCGUGUAGCAGUGAAAUGCGUAGAUAUGCGGAGGAACACCGAUGGCGAAGACAAUCCCCUGGACCUGUACUGACGCUCAUGCACGAAAGCGUGGGGAGCAAACAGGAUUAGAUACCCUGGUAGUCCACGCCCUAAACGAUGUCAACUGGUUGUUGGGAAAGGUUCCUUCUCUAGUAACGUAGUACUACGCGUGAGUAGUACGCCGUCGGGAGGUACGGCCGCGAGGUUAGUAACGUACAAUAGAAGUUAGUACGGCGUGAGACGUGCCGACGGACGACGACGAGGGAGGUUAGG